RNAcentral lists this ribosomal RNA (1449 nucleotides) under Triticum aestivum (bread wheat). RNAcentral describes it as "partial small subunit ribosomal RNA". Lineage: Eukaryota; Viridiplantae; Streptophyta; Magnoliopsida; Poales; Poaceae. The record is from RNAcentral.
AUGCCAAUUAUGCACCAUCAGCAGCAGCAGAUGCAGUUUGGUCACGCCCCAGAGCAAAUGCAACCUGGUAAUCAGAUGCAAGGAUUUGGAGAGGGGCAGUCUAGCACUCACCAGCAGAUUUCUCAAAACCAAGAGAAGAGGAAAAGCAAGAGCUUCUCCCAGAAAGAGGUGCAAAGGAAAUCUGGAGAUGACAAGUCUGAAAGCUCUCAGAGCAGGAAUGAGGAAGUGGUGGUCAACUAUGAUCCAAAAAUGAGAGAUGUUAUAUGCUAUAACUGUGGAGAACCAGCACACUUUGUGGGAACAUGUCCAGUGCCCAAAAAGUGUUUCAUCUGUCACAAACCAGGGCACCAUAUGGACAACUGUUCGGAAUGGUACAAACCGCAAGCUACUGCUCAAUACUUUGGCAGUGCUAAUGCAGGGCUAGGUUUCUUUCACAUUGAAUCAGAUGGCAAAGAGGCUGUUAAAUGGCUAAAUAUGUCCAAUGUUUGUGUGGCUGUUAUUGAAGAAGGGUCCAUCACAACACAAGAGCUGAAGAACAAUUUCUCUGAGAUAUGGAAAACUAACUGGCCAUGGCAGGUGAGGCAGUUGACUGAGAAGAGGUUCCUAGUUAGGUUCCCACCUCACCAAAAGGUAAAAGAUUUGGUAGAGCUACCCUCCAUUAGUCUCAGAAAGAAAGGGGUGACAGUUUCUUUUGAUAAGUGGGAUGGAGAGGAGGUGGCCUAUGCUGAAUUGCAAGAGGUGUGGGUAACCAUGAUUCGGAUCCCUGUCAACAAACUCACUUGGAAAGUAAUCUCUCAGAUCACUUACAUCUUGGGGGUCUUGAUUAAUGUGGACUGGCAUGAGAUAUUUAGAAGUUUCUAUGAAAAGGUUAAAGUGCAGGUGGCUGUAAGGGACAUAUCAAAGAUCCCUACAGAAAGGCUGGUAGAGAUUGACAAGGAACUGUUUCUUAUUUGUUUCCUUGUUGACAUAGCUCCAGUUGCUGGAAGUGUGAACCCAAGUAAUAGUGGUGAAGAAAAAUCAGAUGAUGACCUGUUGGAGGGGAGUCCUGAAAGAGACAUGCAAAUGCAAGGCCCCAAAGACAUGGAAACUGACAAGAGCAAAAACCCCAAGUCUGGGGGCCCACCCCAAAAUUCACAAAAAGGUCCCACUAAGUCCAAGACCCCUGUGGAACUGGUGAAUUCACUAGAAAAAAGGGUGCAAAGUGCAAUACUGAGUCUGCAAAAUGACUCUCACAUGAAGAAGACUGUGGAGAAGAAAAACCCUGAAGACAACAUUGCUAUUCAACUGCUGGACCAAUUUGAUGAAGAGUCUGAUGGAGAUGGGGCCACUUUGGAGGUGCCAAAACCACAAAAGCACAAAUGGUGGCCUGUGGUGGCACCUAGAGUGAGCACGGAAUCAAAAGAGAUGGGAGGAAUGCUAUUCAAAAGGCUGAAGACCUCAGAAAGCUAA